Molecule: ribosomal RNA, 462 nt
Filed under: Enterobacter cloacae
Lineage: Bacteria; Pseudomonadati; Pseudomonadota; Gammaproteobacteria; Enterobacterales; Enterobacteriaceae
Description: bacterial SSU rRNA
Rfam family: Bacterial small subunit ribosomal RNA
Source: RNAcentral
GGGGGGUAGAAUUCCAGGUGUAGCGGUGAAAUGCGUAGAGAUCUGGAGGAAUACCGGUGGCGAAGGCGGCCCCCUGGACUGAGACUGACGCUCAGGUGCGAAAGCGUGGGGAGCAAACAGGAUUAGAUACCCUGGUAGUCCACGCCGUAAACGAUGUCUAUUUGGAGGUUGUGCCCUUGAGGCGUGGCUUCCGGAGCUAACGCGUUAAAUCGACCGCCUGGGGAGUACGGGCGCCAGGAUAGAACUCCAAUGAAUUGACGGGGGCCCGCACCAGCGGUGGAACAUGGGGUUUAAUUCCAUGCCACCCCAAAAACCUUACCUGGGCUUGGCCUCCGGCGGACUUUCCAGAGAUGGAUUGGUGCCUUCUCGAACUGUGAAACGAGUGCUGCAUGGCUGUCGUCAGCUCGUGUUGUGAAGUGAUGGGUUAAUUCCCGCAACAACCGCAACCCUUAUCCUUUGUUG